Molecule: ribosomal RNA, 253 nt
Filed under: uncultured bacterium
Lineage: Bacteria
Description: partial 16S ribosomal RNA
Rfam family: Bacterial small subunit ribosomal RNA
Source: RNAcentral
UACGUAGGGUGCAAGCGUUAAUCGGAAUUACUGGGCGUAAAGCGUGCGCAGGCGGCUUUGCAAGACAGAUGUGAAAUCCCCGGGCUUAACCUGGGAACUGCAUUUGUGACUGCAUGGCUGGAGUGCGGCAGAGGGGGAUGGAAUUCCGCGUGUAGCAGUGAAAUGCGUAGAUAUGCGGAGGAACACCGAUGGCGAAGGCAAUCCCCUGGGCCUGCACUGACGCUAAUGCACGAAAGCGUGGGGAGCAAACAGG